GUUUAUUUUACCUUGUUGCUUCGGCGGGCCCGCCUUAACUGGCCGCCGGGGGGCUUACGCCCCCGGGCCCGCGCCCGCCGAAGACACCCUCGAACUCUGUCUGAAGAUUGUAGUCUGAGUGAAAAUAUAAAUUAUUUAAAACUUUCAACAACGGAUCUCUUGGUUCCGGCAUCGAUGAAGAACGCAGCGAAAUGCGAUACGUAAUGUGAAUUGCAAAUUCAGUGAAUCAUCGAGUCUUUGAACGCACAUUGCGCCCCCUGGUAUUCCGGGGGGCAUGCCUGUCCGAGCGUCAUUUCUGCCCUCAAGCACGGCUUGUGUGUUGGGCCCCGUCCUCCGAUCCCGGGGGACGGGCCCGAAAGGCAGCGGCGGCACCGCGUCCGGUCCUCGAGCGUAUGGGGCUUUGUCACCCGCUCUGUAGGCCCGGCCGGCGCUUGCCGAUCAACCCAAAUUUUUAUCCAGGUUGACCUCGGAUCAGGUAGGGAUACCCGCUGAACUUAAGCAUAUCAAUAAGGCGGAGGAA
RNAcentral lists this unclassified non-coding RNA (520 nucleotides) under Penicillium chrysogenum. RNAcentral's name for it is "sequence contains 18S rRNA gene, ITS1, 5.8S rRNA gene, 28S rRNA gene". The stretch from base 140 to 292 matches the Rfam family "5.8S ribosomal RNA". The record is from RNAcentral. Lineage: Eukaryota; Fungi; Ascomycota; Eurotiomycetes; Eurotiales; Aspergillaceae.